This 37-nucleotide ribosomal RNA is filed under the name Veronica farinosa. RNAcentral describes it as "partial 26S ribosomal RNA". The record is from RNAcentral. Lineage: Eukaryota; Viridiplantae; Streptophyta; Magnoliopsida; Lamiales; Plantaginaceae.
GACCGAGACCCCAGGUCAGGCGGGACUACCCGCUGAG